GCCACGGUGGUCUAGCGGUUAGAACGCUGGCCUUGUAAUCCUGGGGCUCUCGGGUUCGAUUCCCGGCGGUGCCC
Molecule: transfer RNA, 74 nt
Filed under: Zootermopsis nevadensis
Lineage: Eukaryota; Metazoa; Arthropoda; Insecta; Blattodea; Termopsidae
Rfam family: tRNA
About the family: Transfer RNA (tRNA) molecules are approximately 80 nucleotides in length.
Source: Rfam by way of RNAcentral